Molecule: unclassified non-coding RNA, 324 nt
Filed under: soil metagenome
Description: partial contains 5.8S ribosomal RNA, internal transcribed spacer 2, and large subunit ribosomal RNA
Rfam family: 5.8S ribosomal RNA (bases 1-120)
Source: RNAcentral
GAUGAAGAACGUAGCGAAAUGCGAUAAGUAAUGUGAAUUGCAGAAUUCCGUGAAUCAUCGAAUUUUUGAACGCACAUUGCGCCCUGUGGUAUUCCGCAGGGCAUGCCUGUUCGAGCGUCAUUUCAACCCUCAAGCCCCGCUUGGUGUUGGGCCCCGCCCGCUGUGGCCGGCCCUAAAGACAGUGGCGGCGCCGCCUGGCCCUCAGCGUAGUACAUCUCUCGCUCCAGGGUCCGGUGGCCGCCUGCCAGAACCCCCCAACUCUGUGGUUGACCUCGGAUCAGGUAGGGAUACCCGCUGAACUUAAGCAUAUCAAUAAGCGGAGGA